GCUUAAGGGACCUGGAUGGAUAGAGGUGUGCAGGCUCUGUAAAGGUGGCGAAGCACUGAUUUACAGCUUCGAACACACUACUAGCUAUGGCGAAGCGUACUUGUUUAUUUCCUCAGGCUGUACGAACUUGGCUCGGAGUCAAGCAGGUCUUGCAUGAGCAAAGCAGGAAGCGACACUGGAUCGUCUGGACUGAGAGCCUCAUGUGUUCAUAGUAUCGAAACUCCACGAGUAGGCUGUUUGUUUUGGGCGUUGGAGAAAACACGUGGGAGAAAUAUACAUAGCCUAUAUAUAGAGGAGUCUGAGGGCAUGGAGCGGCGCUUUUAAACUGUCCGUUAUGGAGAUGACAAACGAAAAGGUAGCCUGUCAAGUCCACGCAGUUUUAAUGGAGCCGGAGCCAGAGCCAGAGCCCGAGCCCGUGAGCCGUCUGAGGACAAAGUACCGCUCACUGCGGCGACAGGUGUGCCUCAUGCAGUCCAUCAGCGUGCUCUUCUGCUUCAGCUGCUGCCUGUUCACGCUCCUGUAUCACGCGUUCCUGCCGACCUGCAAGGAAAAUGGAACCAAGGAGGCACUUACAUUUGGAAUGCAGUAUCAAGGUGCUGAAUCGCAUAGCAGAGAAGAUACAAUCCCGAC
Molecule: long non-coding RNA, 630 nt
Filed under: Sinocyclocheilus anshuiensis
Lineage: Eukaryota; Metazoa; Chordata; Actinopteri; Cypriniformes; Cyprinidae
Description: lncRNA (ENSSANG00000010846.1)
Source: RNAcentral